UGUUGGGCUUUGGUGGACUCGAGGUCCAUA
Molecule: small RNA, 30 nt
Filed under: Bombyx mori (domestic silkworm)
Lineage: Eukaryota; Metazoa; Arthropoda; Insecta; Lepidoptera; Bombycidae
Description: ovarian small RNA-9219
Source: RNAcentral